GGUAAAAUGGCCGAGAACAAGCGGUAAGCUGUAAACUUACUUAUGAAUUAAAUUCUUUUACC
Molecule: transfer RNA, 62 nt
Filed under: Serrognathus castanicolor
Lineage: Eukaryota; Metazoa; Arthropoda; Insecta; Coleoptera; Lucanidae
Description: tRNA-Tyr
Source: RNAcentral